Transfer RNA from Termitomyces sp. J132, 88 nucleotides. It matches the Rfam family "tRNA". From Rfam's summary of the family: Transfer RNA (tRNA) molecules are approximately 80 nucleotides in length. Their secondary structure includes four short double-helical elements and three loops (D, anti-codon, and T loops). Further hydrogen bonds mediate the characteristic L-shaped molecular structure. tRNAs have two regions of fundamental functional importance: the anti-codon, which is responsible for specific mRNA codon recognition, and the 3' end, to which the tRNAs corresponding amino acid is attached (by aminoacyl-tRNA synthetases). tRNAs cope with the degeneracy of the genetic code in two manners: having more than one tRNA (with a specific anti-codon) for a particular amino acid; and 'wobble' base-pairing, i.e. permitting non-standard base-pairing at the 3rd anti-codon position. NCBI's taxonomy places the organism in Eukaryota, Fungi, Basidiomycota, Agaricomycetes, Agaricales, Lyophyllaceae. The record is from Rfam.
GCCCGCCUAGCUCAAUCGGAUAGAGCGUCAGACUCUUACUUUGGGCAGGUGUAUCUGAAGGCUGCGAGUUCGACCCUCGCGGUGGGCU